Molecule: long non-coding RNA, 160 nt
Organism: Sapajus apella (tufted capuchin)
Lineage: Eukaryota; Metazoa; Chordata; Mammalia; Primates; Cebidae
Exons: 3
Source: RefSeq, a predicted model, not a curated record
AAGACACAACGUACCAGAAUCUCUGGGACACAUUUAAACCACUAUCUGGAGGGAAAUUUAUAGCACUAAAUGCCCACAAGAGAAGUGAGGAAAGAUAUAAAAUUGACACCCUAAUGUCAUGAUUAAAAGAACUAGAGGAACAAGAGAAAAAAAAUUCAAA